UUAAUUCAAAUACUUAAUAUUAAAAAAUCCAGUUUUAGUUCGGAAGAGAAAUAUAAUUAAAUAGAUUAAAAUAUUGUAUUAGCCAUAUUUGGACAAUCGAUUAUCGAUUCUUCGCGUCUCGAUUAUGCGUCUGCGCGUUAUGUAAGCAGUAAUAAUACGCGGAUGCAUAGUCGCCAGGAUUCAAAGAGAGAAAAAAAAACAGAGAGCAACUUGUUCAACGAACAGACUUUCUCUCAUCUCGACAUCCUUCUCUGAUGCCAACAACUUCCUUCAAUGAUAUAAUCAAGAAUUAGCAUUAAGCGGCUAUAGAAGCAGAAUAUAUGCAUAAGAAUAAAAAAGAAAAUGCAGCAAUUUAUAACACUCGUGUAAAUACAAAUUCUCAUAUGCGACCACGGAAAUUCACCGAUUAUAUACAUUUCCUUUUCGUUUAAUCGCGAUUACGUACAAUGCGUGCGUAACAACGUAACAAAGAAAUAAAAAGAUUACGAGACAAACAGCACAAUUGUGAAUACGCUCAAUUAAAUAAUAAAUUAAACCAAUAAAUUUAAUAAACAUUCCAAAU
Long non-coding RNA from Apis florea (little honeybee), 562 nucleotides. NCBI's taxonomy places the organism in Eukaryota, Metazoa, Arthropoda, Insecta, Hymenoptera, Apidae. The record is from RefSeq and is a predicted model, not a curated record.